UACAGAGGGUGCAAGCGUUGUUCGGAAUUAUUGGGCGUAAAGGGCGCGUAGGCGGCUUUUUAAGUCAGGGGUGAAAUCCUGGAGCUCAACUCCAGAACUGCCUUUGAUACUGGGAAGCUUGAGUCCGGAAGAGGUGAGUGGAACUCCGAGUGUAGAGGUGAAAUUCGUAGAUAUUCGGAAGAACACCAGUGGCGAAGGCGGCUCACUGGUCCGGUACUGACGCUGAGGUGCGAAAGCGUGGGGAGCAAACAGG
Molecule: ribosomal RNA, 253 nt
Filed under: uncultured prokaryote
Description: partial 16S ribosomal RNA
Rfam family: Bacterial small subunit ribosomal RNA
Source: RNAcentral